GUAGGUGGCAAGCGUUGUCCGGAAUUAUUGGGCGUAAAGCGCGCGCAGGCGGGUUCUUUAAGUCUGAUGUGAAAGCCCACGGGCUCAACCGUGGAGGGUCAUUGGAAACUGGAGAACUUGAGUACAGAAGAGGAAAGCGGAAUUCCACGUGUAGCGGUGAAAUGCGUAGAGAUGUGGAGGAACACCAGUGGCGAAGGCGGCUUUCUGGUCUGUAACUGACGCUGAGGCGCGAAAGCGUGGGGAGCAAACAGGAUUAGAUACCCUGGUAGUCCACGCCGUAAACGGUGAGUGCUAAGUGUUAGGGGGUUUCCGCCCCUUAGUGCUGCAGCUAACGCAUUAAGCACUCCGCCUGGGGAGUACGGCCGCAAGGCUG
This 373-nucleotide ribosomal RNA is filed under the name uncultured organism. RNAcentral's name for it is "partial 16S ribosomal RNA". It matches the Rfam family "Bacterial small subunit ribosomal RNA", at positions 527 to 896 of the family's 1533-position model. The record is from RNAcentral.